UAACGAAUCUUCCACAAUGCGCGAAAGCGUGAUGGAGCAAUGCCGCGUGCAGGAUGAAGCCUUUCGGGGUGUAAACUGCUGUCAGGGUGUAGCAAAAAAAUGAGCAGACCCAAAGGAAGAGGUGGCUAACUCUGUGCCAGCAGCCGCGGUAAUACAGAGACCUCGAGCGUUAAUCGGAGUCACUGGGCUUAAAGCGUACGUAGGCGGACCUGUAGGCAUCUUGUGAAAUACCUCGGCUCAACCGAGGAACUGCUUGGUGAACCACAGGUCUUGAGGCAAGUAGGGGCUGUCGGAACGAUAGGUGGAGCGGUGAAAUGCGUUGAUAUCUAUCGGAACGCCAAAGGUGAAGACAGGCAGCUGGGCUUGUACUGACGCUGAGGUACGAAAGCGUGGGGAGCAAACGGGAUUAGAUACCCCCGUAGUCC
This 425-nucleotide ribosomal RNA is filed under the name uncultured bacterium. RNAcentral describes it as "bacterial SSU rRNA". It matches the Rfam family "Bacterial small subunit ribosomal RNA", at positions 355 to 796 of the family's 1533-position model. The record is from RNAcentral.